UGUAGUCAUAUGCUUGUCUCAAAGAUUAAGCCAUGCAUGUCUAAGUAUAAGCAAUUAUACAGCGAAACUGCGAAUGGCUCAUUAUAUAAGUUAUCGUUUAUUUGAUAGUACCUUACUACUUGGAUAACCGUGGUAAUUCUAGAGCUAAUACAUGCUAAAAAUCCCGACUUCGGAAGGGAUGUAUUUAUUAGAUUAAAAACCAAUGCCCUCUGGGCUCCUUGGUGAUUCAUGAUAACUUCUCGAAUCGCAUGGCCUUGUGCCGGCGAUGGUUCAUUCAAAUUUCUUCCCUAUCAACUUUCGAUGUUUGGGUAGUGGCCAAACAUGGUUGCAACGGGUAACGGGGAAUGGGGCGGGGGCGGCGGGCCGGGCGCGGGGCGCGGCGGGCGGCAC
RNAcentral lists this ribosomal RNA (390 nucleotides) under Paramyrothecium roridum. RNAcentral's name for it is "bacterial SSU rRNA". It matches the Rfam family "Eukaryotic small subunit ribosomal RNA", at positions 21 to 374 of the family's 1831-position model. Lineage: Eukaryota; Fungi; Ascomycota; Sordariomycetes; Hypocreales; Stachybotryaceae. The record is from RNAcentral.